GGCCUUGCUGGGGGAUCUCAGCUACGGAACCAGUGUGGCCUCAGAUGGGGACCCUUGCGGGGCAGGGAUGCCUGUCAGGCCACCCCCAUCCUCUGUGACCAGUCUCCCUAUCACUGGCUCCCUGACUCACUCUGUGGGCCCCCCGCCACAGUGGCCUCUUUGCCAGGCUCUUAACAGACUCCUGUGCUCCGUCCCUGGCUCUACCCAGAUCACUGGCGCCCUCACCCUUAGGCUCCGGGAGGGCAGGACUUCCCUUACUGCUUUACCUGGAAUUUCAGCUCGCCACUUCCUGUUUCCUGUCUCCCUUUCCUGCUUAGUUUUCCCACGGCACUUCAUUCUUCUAAUGUCCUGUUUAAUAUAUUUAUUAUACUUAAUGUUCUACUAUGAGGUGAAGGUCCGCAGGGAGUCUGUUUUGUGCAAAGAACGGUGGCUGGCACGUACUGCGUGUCCAGGAAACGCUGUUGGAAUGAAUGGAAGUGAUGAUUGUAGUAGCAGCUCUGCAAUACAGUGACCUUGUCGCUCGAAAGUCAUUGUGGCUGAGUACUGAGUGCUGUGGCUGGGUUCUGAGGGAGGUGUGUGGCAAGUCACCUCCCCUUUGGGAAAGGACAGCCAGUUAAGAGGAAGAUCAGAAAGGUACUAGGAUCUCCCUGUAAAUCUUUUUGCAGCUUUUAGUCUAUAGUUAGUGCAAGAUAAAAAGUUUUUUGUCAGAUCUACCACUGGUAAUAAUGCUUUUAGAAAUUUUGUCUUUGAUUAACCCCCCAGAAAGUAAAACCCACAUGCUAGUCCCAAAUACUCAAUGACAUUUGUUUUGUUUUGUUUAUAAAUUUAUUUAUUUGUUUGUUUGUUGGCUGCAUCGGGUCUCAGUUGCGGCAUGCAGGCUCUUCGUUGCGGUGUUCCGUCUUCUCUCUAGUUGUGGCGCGCAGGCUCCAGAGCGCGUGGGCUCUGUAGUUGCGGCACACGCGGUCUCUGGUUGUGGCACGCAGGCUUAGUUGCCCCGCGGCACGUGGGAUCUUAGUUCCCUGACCAGGGAUUGAACCGGCGUCCCCUGCAUUGCAAGACCGAUUCUUAGCCACUGGACCACCAGGGAAGUCCCGACAUUUGUCGAUUAAAUGGGUGAGGUGGAGUAAUCUGUUAGAACCACGUGAAAGUGAGCCGUUCUGAGGCCUGCUCUGAAUCCUGAUGUGUGACUGAAGGACUCAAGUCAUUUCCAGAACCUUCACUCAGAGUGAAUUUAUGUUCUUGGUUUUUCAUUGUAUUAAUGUGGUGCUGGGACUGAACAGAUACUGCGUGUUUCUUGGCCCUUUGUGUUCUUGAGUCCCCCUCACUCGUGGAGGAAGGAUGGCUCUGUGCUCAGUGCUGAGCUACCCUGGAGACGUGUGCUUUUUGCUCAGUCUCAGACCUGGAACUUGGGGCCAGGCCUCUGCACUGGUUCCUGUGCUGACCGACCUGACGCCACCAGGCAGGAUCCCUAGCAGGCUGCUGCUGACCGUGCAUCUCAGAGCCCAGGUGUGACGUGCUUGCCUUGGUCCUGGGCUGGAGAAGAUGCUCAGUAGGUGUGGGAUGGAUGAAUGACUAAAACUGAGGCUGGGAGGCCGGAGUAAGGAGACGAGGUGGAAUUUUAUUUAAGGUGGGACUUUGCUUUUAGAGUCAGGAAAUAAAAUGAGCAUGGUUUUUAAAAACAUUUUUAUUGGGGUAUAAUUGAUUUACAAAUGAUUCUUUUUCUUUUUUUUUUGGCCACACUGCACAGCAUGUGGGAUCUUAGCUCCCCAACUAGGGAUUGAACCCUGGGCUCCCUGCAGUGGAGGCCUAGAGUCUUACCCACUGGACCGCCAGGGAAGCCCCCAAAUGGCGUGAUAGACGCAGAUGUAAUCACCCUUGAAAAAUUCCUUAACUCUUUAAUAAAGUACUUUGUACAGGGUUUGGAGCAUACAGUGCUGUAGGCAAACCAUAUAUCUCAGCCAAUGAGGGCAGCCAGCUUUCCAGUAAGGAAACAGACCCUGUGUCUUCAGGGGACAGGUGUGGAGGGUGUCGGCCCGCUCUUGCCCAGGAGGUGGACAGGAGACUGUUGGCUCUUGACGGUGCUCCCCGUGCAGUAGUUAAAACUGUAGUGCUCCCCAAAUGGGGCUUGUUUUUAUGUUCUUAUUGGAUGGUCAGAUCAGAGCAUUCUUCAGCUGCAGACUCAUCUCCUGCUCUGUCACAGUCCUUCCCUGUCUGUGUGUCAGCAGAAUCUGUACUAGACUUUCCUUCCUGAGAGAGGACGGGACUCGGGCUCACAUGAUGGGGCCCCACUAAGAUGAGGGUCAUGGUACCUGCCCUUACUGCCUGUUGGGGGAGUACAGGAGGUGGUAAGUGGGAAGGUAUGUCAUCAACUGCUUCCUAAGUUUAGGUGACAAAGAUGCUGAAAAAUGACAGUAGUCAUAUUUUAUGAAAAUGCUAUCCCUCAUUUAAGAGAAGGAACUGUUGGGACUUCCCUGGUGCCCCAGUGGUUAAAACUCCAAGCUUCCAGUGCAGGGGGCGUGGGUUUGAUCCCUGGUCGGGGGAUCUAAGAUCCCACAUGCCGCACGGUG
Molecule: long non-coding RNA, 2567 nt
Filed under: Phocoena sinus (vaquita)
Lineage: Eukaryota; Metazoa; Chordata; Mammalia; Artiodactyla; Phocoenidae
Description: lncRNA (ENSPSNG00000018585.1)
Source: RNAcentral